GAGUUUGAUCUUGGCUCAGGAUGAACGCUAGCGGCAGGCUUAAUACAUGCAAGUCGAGGGGCAGCAUGGUGUAGCAAUACACUGAUGGCGACCGGCAAACGGGUGCGGAACACGUACGCAACUUUCCCAAAACUGGUGAAUAGCCCUCCGAAAGGAGGAUUAAUACACCGUAACUUAAUGAAGUGGCAUCACUUUAUUAAUAUAGCUCCGGCGGUUUUGGAUGGGCGUGCGCCUGAUUAGGUAGUUGGUAGGGUAACGGCCUACCAAGCCAACGAUCAGUAACUGGUGUGAGAGCACGACCAGUCACACGGGCACUGAGACACGGGCCCGACUCCUACGGGAGGCAGCAGUAAGGAAUAUUGGUCAAUGGACGAAAGUCUGAACCAGCCAUGCCGCGUGAAGGAUGAAGGCCCUCUGGGUUGUAAACUUCUUUUAUAGGGGACGAAAAAAGGGAAUUCUUCUCACUUGACGGUACCCUAGGAAUAAGCACCGGCUAACUCCGUGCCAGCCGCCGCGGUAAU
Molecule: ribosomal RNA, 521 nt
Filed under: uncultured Sphingobacterium sp.
Lineage: Bacteria; Pseudomonadati; Bacteroidota; Sphingobacteriia; Sphingobacteriales; Sphingobacteriaceae
Description: bacterial SSU rRNA
Rfam family: Bacterial small subunit ribosomal RNA
Source: RNAcentral